GAUGAAGAACGUAGCGAAAUGCGAUAAUUAAUGUGAAUUGCAGAAUUCCGUGAAUCAUCGAGUCUUUGAACGCACAUUGCGCCUCAUGGCAUUCCGGGGGGCAUGCCUGUCCGAGCGUCAUUGCUGCCCUCAAGCACGGCUUGUGUGUUGGGCCUCCGUCCUCCUCCCGGGGGACGGGCCCGAAAGGCAGCGGCGGCACCGCGUCCGGUCCUCGAGCGUAUGGGGCUUCGUCACCCGCUCUUGUAGGCCCGGCCGGCGCUUGCCGACACAUCAAUCUUUUUUCCAGGUUGACCUCGGAUCAGGUAGGGAUACCCGCUGAACUUAAGCAUAUCAAUAAGCGGAGGA
This 345-nucleotide unclassified non-coding RNA is filed under the name soil metagenome. RNAcentral's name for it is "partial contains 5.8S ribosomal RNA, internal transcribed spacer 2, and large subunit ribosomal RNA". The stretch from base 1 to 120 matches the Rfam family "5.8S ribosomal RNA", at positions 35 to 154 of the family's 154-position model. The record is from RNAcentral.